GGUGCAAAUGAUGUUUGUCGCGACCAAAGUAUGAAAAAAAAAAAAUGAUUCUUACUUUUUAGACUACUGAUGCACC
Small nucleolar RNA from Thalassophryne amazonica, 76 nucleotides. The record is from RefSeq and is a predicted model, not a curated record. Lineage: Eukaryota; Metazoa; Chordata; Actinopteri; Batrachoidiformes; Batrachoididae.